This 152-nucleotide small RNA is filed under the name Marmota monax (woodchuck). The record is from RNAcentral. Lineage: Eukaryota; Metazoa; Chordata; Mammalia; Rodentia; Sciuridae.
GCUUGGCAUGGUGGUGCAUGCCUGUAAUCCCAGCAGCUUGGGAGGCUGAGACAGGAGGAUCGUUAGAGCUGAGGAUGUGGCUCAGUGGUCCAGUACCCCUGAGUUCAAUCCCCAGGACCCUCCUCAGCAAAAAAAAAAAAAAAAUGUUUUGA